RNAcentral lists this ribosomal RNA (302 nucleotides) under uncultured bacterium. RNAcentral describes it as "bacterial SSU rRNA". It matches the Rfam family "Bacterial small subunit ribosomal RNA", at positions 186 to 507 of the family's 1533-position model. The record is from RNAcentral.
UGGCAUCACAUUGCUAUUAUAGCUUUCGGCGCUUGGGGAUGGGCCUGCGGCGGAUUAGGUAGUUGGUGGGGUAAGGCCUACCAAGCCGAUGAUCCUAGGGGGCGUGAGAGCGUGGCCCCCCACAUUGGCACUGAGACACGGGCCAAACUCCUACGGGAGGCAGCAGUGAGGAAUAUUGCACAAUGGGCGCAAGCCUGAUGCAGCAACGCCGCGUGAGGGACGAAGGCCUUCGGGUUGUAAACCUCUUUUCUGAGGGACGAGCAAGGACGGUACCUCAGGAAUAAGUCUCGGCUAACUACGUG